GUUCGGUCGCUACAUAGCGAUCGAGAUGCGAACGUUCUCGGUCCCUACGUAGCAACCGAGCUUGGCCAGAGCUCAGUCGCUACGUAGUGACCGAGCCGUGUUCGUGCUCGGUCGCUAUGUAACGACCGAGC
RNAcentral lists this microRNA precursor (131 nucleotides) under Brassica napus (rape). RNAcentral's name for it is "pre miRNA MIR811". The record is from RNAcentral. Lineage: Eukaryota; Viridiplantae; Streptophyta; Magnoliopsida; Brassicales; Brassicaceae.